This 207-nucleotide ribosomal RNA is filed under the name uncultured bacterium. RNAcentral's name for it is "partial 16S ribosomal RNA". It matches the Rfam family "Bacterial small subunit ribosomal RNA", at positions 568 to 774 of the family's 1533-position model. The record is from RNAcentral.
CGUGUAGGCGGCCCGGUAAGUCUGCUGUGAAAACCCGGGGCUCAACCCCGAGCGUGCAGUGGAAACUGCCGGGCUAGAGGGCGGCAGAGGCGAGUGGAAUUCCAUGUGUAGCGGUGAAAUGCGUAGAUAUAUGGAGGAACACCGGUGGCGAAAGCGGCUCUCUGGCCUGUAACUGACACUGAGGCUCGAAAGCGUGGGGAGCAAACA